Mustela erminea (ermine) is the source of this 1685-nucleotide long non-coding RNA. RefSeq lists it as uncharacterized. The record is from RefSeq and is a predicted model, not a curated record. NCBI's taxonomy places the organism in Eukaryota, Metazoa, Chordata, Mammalia, Carnivora, Mustelidae. The transcript is spliced from 3 exons.
CCUUGUUCUACAGAUUAGGCAAAUGAGGCUCAGACAGAUUAAAAUACUUGGCCGGAUUUGAACGUGUCUGGGAUGGAAAUUGACUUGAUAUUCCCACCACACCGCAGCCAUUCCCUGGGAAGAUUUCAUCGUGCAGCAGCUUAGGCUGGGCUGGAGCCAGGGAGGCAGAAGGGCGAUGAGCAGAAACGACUGAUGUCUCCUUUACAGACGACCAGCAAAUCGCCGCCACACAUAAUGUGACCCUCAAGCAUAACUUUCUGCAAAGGCUUUUCUUAUCCGAAUGCAGACACUGGCUAAAGGUGGCAGAUGGAGCCAGAGCUUGAAGUGAAGCUUGAACAUUCAGGAAGCCAGUCUUCGUGAGUCUAGAUCUUGAAGGCCACGAACAAUUCCAGAAAGGUAGUAAGGUCAGCAGUGCAGAGUCUGGAUUUCAGGCAGACAGGAGGGCAGAGAGGCUGUAAAAACCUGGCACACAGCUUUUCGGAGCAGAGUUUUCUGAUCCACAAAAUGAGAGGAAGGGCUCUUCUUUGCACAUCUCUCCCCUGGCCCAUACUGCAGACAGAGACCCAUGUUUAUUUGGGAUCCAAGGUCCUAACCCCAGCUGCCCUCCAAUAAAUGGCAGCCAAGUUCCCAUGCCAAGCCAUGCUCUGGAUGAUGACCCCAGAUCAGGGUUGGGGUCAAAAGGACAGGAGUCUGGGGUCUGGGCCCAAGGCCGCAGCAGGAGGAGCGCAACCAACAGACGGAAAGGCGAGGGCAGGUGCUUGGCCAGCUCCCCCAACAUCCCAGCUCCCUGCCCCAGGCCAGGAGCAGAUCAGCGCUGAGGCUCUUCAGGUCUCCCUAAAUUAAUUAAUUAAUCUGAAUUCUUCAGGGAGAUAAUGUUAGAAUUGAAUUGAAUUGUGGAACACCCACAUGGUGUUGAAGACUUGCUUAGUGGUGUGAGAAAAAUCCCCACAUAUUGGAUCAAAUGGCUCCAAAAUUUGUACUUCUAGAACUGACCGUCUCCUCUCAUCCUCAAGUUACAGACUUGAAUGUCUAACCACUACUCCACAUCUGCCCUGUGUAAUAGCCCACAGACACCACAAGGGCCAACAGAACUUUGGAUUUUCUUUCCCAAACCUGUUCUCCUUGUUUCUCUUCCUUAGUAAAUGACACCACCAACCAACCAAUUGCUUGAACCCGAAACCAGGAAUCAUCUUGGAUUUCCUCACUUGUCCUGUCUCGAUUCUAAGCCAAAAAGCAAGUUCUGUGGCUCAACCUAUCAAACGUAUCACAAAUCUAUCUACGUCUCCAAACAGUGGCCAGAGGACCUUGAAAAAGGAAACCCCAACUCUUUGCUACAGCUCUCGAGGCACUCCGGAUCCCGCCCCUGCCUUGCUAUCCUGUCCGACCCCCGCCCCUUGGCCCAGCCACACUGGCCUUUCCUGGUCCCCGGCUGCACUCAGAGCCCUUGCCCUUGCUCGGGACUCUGCUUGGACUCCUCUCUGCCCAGAAAGCAGCUUUGUGCAGCUGGCUCCUUCCAGUCACUCAGGUCUUGGCUCAACUGUCCCCUCUGCAGGGGCCAGCUCUGACCACCCACCCUGGGCCGGGCAGAUGCCAUGGCAAGGGCGGGGGGGUGGGGGUGGGGGAGCACACCUAGAGGGGAGAGUCAGAACUGGGCCUGAGCCAUAUGGACUCCUGGGGAAGGACAG